GAAAUGCGAUAAGUAAUGUGAAUUGCAGAAUUCAGUGAAUCAUCGAAUCUUUGAACGCACAUUGCGCCCGCCAGUAUUCUGGCGGGCAUGGCUGUUCGAGCGUCAUUACAACCCUCAGGCCCCCGGGCCUGGCGUUGGGGAUCGGCGGAAGCCCCCUGCGGGCACAACGCCGUCCCCCAAAUACAGUGGCGGUCCCGCCGCAGCUUCCAUUGCGUAGUAGCUAACACCUCGCAACUGGAGAGCGGCGCGGCCACGCCGUAAAACACCCAACUUCUGAAUGUUGACCUCGAAUCAGGUAGGAAUACCCGCUGAACUUAAGC
Molecule: unclassified non-coding RNA, 320 nt
Filed under: plant metagenome
Description: partial contains 5.8S ribosomal RNA, internal transcribed spacer 2, and large subunit ribosomal RNA
Rfam family: 5.8S ribosomal RNA (bases 1-105)
Source: RNAcentral